This 550-nucleotide ribosomal RNA is filed under the name Pseudanabaena limnetica ISB 64. RNAcentral describes it as "bacterial SSU rRNA". It matches the Rfam family "Bacterial small subunit ribosomal RNA", at positions 92 to 673 of the family's 1533-position model. The record is from RNAcentral. Lineage: Bacteria; Bacillati; Cyanobacteriota; Cyanophyceae; Pseudanabaenales; Pseudanabaenaceae.
UUAGUGGCGGACGGGUGAGUAACGCGUGAGAAUCUACCUUUAGGACGGGGACAACAAUUGGAAACGAUUGCUAAUACCCGAUAUGCCCUUCGGGGUGAAAUGUUUUUUCGCCUAAAGAUGAGCUCGCGUCCGAUUAGCUAGUAGGUAGUGUAAUGGACUACCUAGGCGAUGAUCGGUAGCUGGUUUGAGAGGACAAUCAGCCACACUGGGACUGAGACACGGCCCAGACUCCUACGGGAGGCAGCAGUGGGGAAUUUUCCGCAAUGGGCGCAAGCCUGACGGAGCAAUACCGCGUGGGGGAGGAAGGUCUGUGGAUUGUAAACCCCUUUUCUCAGGGAAGAAGCUCUGACGGUACCUGAGGAAUCAGCAUCGGCUAACUCCGUGCCAGCAGCCGCGGUAAUACGGAGGAUGCAAGCGUUAUCCGGAAUUAUUGGGCGUAAAGCGUCCGCAGGCGGCUAGAUAAGUCUGCUUUCAAAGAGUGGGGCUCAACCCCAUAGGGGGAGUGGAAACUGUUUAGCUAGAGUAUGGUAGGGGCAGAGGGAAUUCCCAG